Molecule: unclassified non-coding RNA, 1842 nt
Filed under: Orussus abietinus
Lineage: Eukaryota; Metazoa; Arthropoda; Insecta; Hymenoptera; Orussidae
Description: pE-PGRS family protein PE_PGRS30, transcript variant X2
Source: RNAcentral
GUGGUGGAAUGGGAAUGGCCGGUGGUAUGGGAAUGAAAAGCCUAAGUGGAAUGAGUGGAUUAGGAAAGCCAAGUGGAAUGGAUAACCAGUUUAGCCCAGGAAAAUCUCCAUUUGGUGGAAAUGAUUCUUUUGGUGUUAAUCGAAGUUUUGGAGGAGGAAACUCAACUUUUGCUCCAUCUACGCCAAGCUUCAACAAGGAUAGCCCCUUUGGUGGUGGCCCGAAUCAGAAGCGAGGAGGAAUAGGGGGACCGGGUGGAGACGGUGGAGGAGGGGGAAUUAUGCCGAAUCGCAUGAAUACUUCGAACGACCAGUUCAGUGACAGUAACGAAUGUUGGGAUAGUGACCCAGAAAAGUUUGACGACGGAAACCAAAGUGUAGGGGAUAACGACCAGUUCGGUGGUGGGAAUCAGAAUAGAGGAAAUGAUCAAUUUAGCAUUGGGAAUCAAAACAGAGGUGGGGGCAAUAUGUUUGGAGUGAGCGGCCAAAGCAGAGGUGGUAUUAAUCCACCUUUUGGUGGAAAUAAUCAGAAUAGACCCGUUGGUAAUCAAGGACGACCCAACCUUGGCGGUGGUGGAAUGAAUCAGAGUCAAAAUGUUCUACGAGUUCGAGGGAAUAGAGGUGGAAAGAAUAGGAAUAAAAACAAGGAAGUUGGAGUAAAUAGUUUUCGGGAUAGAAGUCCGAUAAACAGAGGACCUCGCGAUGACAAACUCGGCCACGAUUGGGAGAAAACUGGCGAUAGAAGUCGUCACGGUAGUUUUGGCAGUGGUUCCUUUGACGGUGGUCGUUUCGACGAUCUAAAAGGCCCUGUUGGAGGACCUAUGGCAGGAUCUCAUGGAGUUGGUCCCAGAGAGAUGAGCUCUGGAUAUGGGGGAUCUAGUGGUUCGGUGGAUUAUCAGUCAGCCGUAGCUGAAAAGAAUGACUGCGAGAUAAUCGUUGUCAACAAAGGUUUAACUGAUUACGCAGAGGCCAUAGAAAUGCGUCUAAAGAAAAUGGGUCUGACAGUGGAUCUUCUUUUCCCUAACGAAGAUGUUCCCCUCAGCCGAGUUCUUGGAAACAUAGCCAGCCGAGGUUGCCUCUAUGCAGUCGUAGUGACACACAUCAAUCAGGAACAUCACUCACUGACAUUAAACAUUCUUCACGGGCUUCCUCAAGAGCACAGAAACAUGCCGCUGGAAGAUGCCAUCAAUCUGAUAACGCGAGAUUUCGCCAACUACAAAUCAGGCGGUCGCUCGGUGCCCCUGAAUACCCCAUUCGCUAAUGAGCGCCACCCUGACGCUAUUCAGGUUCUGUUGAACAUGUUGGCAGACAAUCAUCAAUUGACCGUGCUGCAGUACGACCGAGUGAUCAAGUAUCUAGAGGUGAAAAGGGAGGAGCAGGUCCAGGUCGAGUUGGGCGAUGCCAAGGACUUGCCAUCGACGACUCUGGCCGUGAGCGACCCAAAGCAAGCCGAACUCCAGUCGAGGAUCCUGAACAUUCUGAACAGCAACAAGACCGCCGCCUCGGUACCAGCUCCUAGCCCCGUUCCGGCUCCGGCUCCUGUCCCUCCAGCUAAUUGGGGAGCAGGAUCUGUUAUAAUUGCAAGUAGUCCUUUACACUUGCAAUUCGGCACGGUCUUGCGGCAACACAUCAAAGGGGCUUGAUAUACGUACUCGAGUGCUUUUGCGACGGUAGCUGCGAGGCGAUUUUAUUCACACAAGAAAGCGGCAAGGCUUCGAUUAACGCAUCCAAAGCAACGUAUUCGUGAAAAGCGUAACAAAUCGACAAACGGGGCAUCGAAACUUCUCCUUCCAGGAUCUCCAACACGCUUCUGACAGCCUCGAUGUCGUACUUGUUCUGCAGCAG